UACGGGAGGCAGCAGUGGGGAAUAUUGCACAAUGGGCGCAAGCCUGAUGCAGCCAUGCCGCGUGUAUGAAGAAGGCCUUCGGGUUGUAAAGUACUUUCAGCGGGGAGGAAGGUGUUGUGGUUAAUAACCACAGCAAUUGACGUUACCCGCAGAAGAAGCACCGGCUAACUCCGUGCCAGCAGCCGCGGUAAUAAU
This 195-nucleotide ribosomal RNA is filed under the name uncultured bacterium. Its description in RNAcentral is "partial 16S ribosomal RNA". It matches the Rfam family "Bacterial small subunit ribosomal RNA", at positions 340 to 526 of the family's 1533-position model. The record is from RNAcentral.